AGUUCGUGGUCAGCUCUCCCUGGGGCCAGUCUGAUUGAAAAGGCUGGAAGCACUUGCAGAGGUUUGGACAAGCUAGUUUGACCUGUGGGCAACUUUGCCAGCUGGCAAGAAUUCCCAGUGAAGUCUGUUAGUGAAGAUAGCUAUGAAACAGCCUGACAUCUCUACUUUUCUCUUAGCCAUGAUGUACGCCUGCAAUGCCUGUGAUGGGAAGUUACAUGGAAAUAUGGAGAAGUGAGAGCCAAAUCUGAAAAGGAAAAAAUUAUGAGGGAUAGCAUUGUGAGAACCCUUCUUUGUCUUCUGUCUCAAAGCUUGCUUCCUGAGGUAUUUCUUGUGAUAAGACGCUUAACUGAUUUAUGGAGGUGGCAAAUGAUGGGUGCUACUAUGUGACAAUCAACAUCACUUUGACAUUUGAAAGCACCUGUAAGAGACUAUUCUUUUGUAUCAUUGACUCAAAGUUUGCUGGUAACGGGACUGCUGCUGGAUCCUGGUGGUGACUAUUAUUUGUAAUAAACUGGUCGGACCAACAUUUGAACCAUUGUUUCUUAAUCUCACGCCGGGCAUACAUAUUUCAAAGAACCUCCUCUCCCUCCUAUAAAUUGGAGCGAGACAGCACCUUCCUCCCGAGCUGCUUGCCUCCAGAAGAGAGUGUUCAGGAGUGGUUACUGGCAGAUCUGGCCUAAUAGCCCCAGCUUGGUGUGGCAAAACUGGGGAAUGACACCAUCAUGCCCUGUGAAAAACAGGAUGCAGAUGGGCAUCCCAGCUCCCUCCUAUCUGCUGACAAGGCCCAGAAGAUGAUAACAAAGGAAUUUCUGCUGAGAUCCCAGAGCCAGUAGCUGCCAAGGAGAGCUGACUCAGCCACUUCGGAUUUGAGGUGUUACUCAAAAGAGAGCUGACUCAACCACUUUGGACUUACAAAUAAGUUUGUACUGCCAUCGUCGUCGUCGCUGUGGUCACCAUCAUCAACGGAACACCCGACGACCCACCACUACUGAAGAUCAAUGACUGAACUACGAACCACGUUGGACCAUGGUGGUGACUAUCUCUCUCCUGCUUCCUAUACAAACUCCUUGCUUCUAUUUCCUAUCUUUUCUAUCGUCCUUCUCCCCUUCCCCAUCUCCCUGAAUGGCUAGGAUUUGUAAUAAACUGGUUGGAC
Gallus gallus (chicken) is the source of this 1153-nucleotide long non-coding RNA. NCBI's taxonomy places the organism in Eukaryota, Metazoa, Chordata, Aves, Galliformes, Phasianidae. The record is from Ensembl.